RNAcentral lists this ribosomal RNA (253 nucleotides) under uncultured bacterium. Its description in RNAcentral is "partial 16S ribosomal RNA". It matches the Rfam family "Bacterial small subunit ribosomal RNA", at positions 524 to 776 of the family's 1533-position model. The record is from RNAcentral.
UACGUAGGGACCGAGCGUUGUCCGGAAUCAUUGGGCGUAAAGAGCGUGUAGGCGGCCACUUAAGUCCUGCGUGAAAUCUUGCGGCUCAACCGCAAGCGGUCGUGGGAAACUGGGUGGCUAGAGUGCGGGAGAGGAGAGUGGAAUUCCUGGUGUAGCGGUGGAAUGCGCAGAUAUCAGGAAGAACACCGGUGGCGAAGGCGGCUCUCUGGGCCUUACCUGACGCUGAGGAGCGAAAGCGUGGGUAGCGAACAGG